CAACACUUGUGUUUGUUUCCGAUUUGGAGCAUUUUCAUGUCUCAUGGAAUAAGGUCGAUUUGAAAUGUUACUUUUAAUUCUAGCAAUUCUCUGUUCAUAAAUGAGAUCCCAAGAGUCUUGGCUCCUUCAUCCUGGUUUUAUAACCUGCGCCGCACUACCUCUGAUUGAACAGAGUCCUGAGGCUGAUUGGCAACAUCAUGGUUCUAAUCCAAAAGAAACCCCUAAUAAUUUUCCUUUUGAAAAGCAGAGGGGUAAGUACUAAGAUUUUCUGGCUAAAAAUAUAAAAUCAGUCAUUCUGUGGAAAGUAUAUUUACAAUCAGUUAUUAGAAAUAUAGAAAGAACUGAAAAAAAAAUACAGG
This 359-nucleotide long non-coding RNA is filed under the name Calidris pugnax (ruff). RNAcentral describes it as "lncRNA (ENSCPUG00000001945.1)". The record is from RNAcentral. Lineage: Eukaryota; Metazoa; Chordata; Aves; Charadriiformes; Scolopacidae.